GGGGAUUUAGCUCAAUGGUAGAGCGCUUGCCUAGCAAGCGCAAUGCCCUGGGUUCAGUCCCCA
Molecule: transfer RNA, 63 nt
Filed under: Rattus norvegicus (Norway rat)
Lineage: Eukaryota; Metazoa; Chordata; Mammalia; Rodentia; Muridae
Rfam family: tRNA
About the family: Transfer RNA (tRNA) molecules are approximately 80 nucleotides in length.
Source: Rfam by way of RNAcentral